AACGAACGCUGGCGGCAUGCCUAACACAUGCCAGUCGAACGAGACCUUCGGGUCUAGUGGCGCACGGGGGCGUAACGCGUGGGAACCUGCCCUUAGGUUCGGAAUAACUCCCCGAAAGGGGUGCUAAUACCGGAUAAUGUCUUCGGACCAAAGAUUUAUCGCCUUUGGAUGGGCCCGCGUUGGAUUAGCUAGUUGGUAGGGUAAAAGCCUACCAAGGCGACGAUCCAUAGCUGGUCUGAGAGGAUGAUCAGCCACGCUGGGACUGAGACACGGCCCAGACUCCUACGGGAGGCAGCAGUGGGGAAUAUUGGACAAUGGGCGAAAGCCUGAUCCAGCAAUGCCGCGUGAGUGAUGAAGGCCUUAGGGUUGUAAAGCUCUUUUACCCGGGAUGAUAAUGACAGUACCGGGAGAAUAAGCGCCGGCUAACUCCGUG
Molecule: ribosomal RNA, 433 nt
Filed under: uncultured bacterium
Lineage: Bacteria
Description: partial 16S ribosomal RNA
Rfam family: Bacterial small subunit ribosomal RNA
Source: RNAcentral